CACAGCCUUCUUUGAUCAUAUUUUCCAAGGGUGCCCAUAUUUUUGACCAUGACUGUAUAUGAAAUUGAACAUUAACCAGUCCGAUUGGGCUGUUGGACCAAAAAAGUUAAUUUCCCACCCUGCUUGAAUGUCAUGCUUUACUGUUUGCAUCAUUGACAGUUAACUACAAGUAGAGACUUCUCACUCUGCUCUCUCCAUAUAAACCUGUUGGGUGGACAGAAGCAGUGGUGGAUGAAUUUGUGCUUGCACUCGUGUGCAAGGAUGGCAUUCAAGGAAGCAUCCGGCGAUGGAACUACUUUGCAUCUGAACAGCUGCUGAUUUAUGAGAAAUUCCGCUGGUGCCACGAUGUAAAGCGCUUUCACAAGAGCAACAACUUGCAUCAUGUGAGUCUCUAUCGCUGUGAUUUGCAUUGCUUUACAUGGUCUGUUUGAUGGUCUGUAACAAAUUACAAAUGCUCUUAAUUCUUCUUUUCAUAGAAUUGUGGUGGACCUCAAAGAAGAAGUGUGGUAUCAGAGAUGCCAUGACCCUGAGUGCAGGAGACUACAGAUCCUCCAGCUUCCCACUGCCUCAAGAGGUCAGUCAGGAUUCAUAUGUGUGUGCUGACAUGUGCGCCUUUCUUUACUUGAGGAUGAAGAGGACCAGGCAUAUAUAACGGAUGAAUGGGGAACAGAUGACCCUGCUAAUCUGUUAGCUCUGCAGGAAGUAGAAAGAGGUACCUGAUGAAGGUCUGGUCCAGGCAGUGACUGAGUGUGAAUGAAAGUCUCCGGAGGGAGGGAUGUCAUGUGAAUGUCAUUAUAAACCGACUACACUGCAACACCUGAAGUACCUUCUUUAUUUCUAUGUAUUAAUUAAACUGUAAAAUAUGUGCUUAAAUUCUGUUUCCCAACAAACUGUAUUUUCUAAAUGUCUUUAUUUGCAUGAAGUCUUUUAGAUUACUUGGCUUGGGAUAAUUUAUUCAUUUUAUUUUUGUAAAUGGACUAUUAG
This is a long non-coding RNA of Cyprinus carpio (common carp), 984 nucleotides long. RefSeq lists it as uncharacterized. The record is from RefSeq and is a predicted model, not a curated record. NCBI's taxonomy places the organism in Eukaryota, Metazoa, Chordata, Actinopteri, Cypriniformes, Cyprinidae. The transcript has 3 exons.